CCGCAUCUGGCUAACCCAUCUCGCGAGAGGGGGAGCCGGCGCGAGGACCUGAGAGACGGCAGCGCAGGAGUGAGGACCUUGGCCAUGACGCCGGCGCGAGGACCUGGAGGCGAAGACGCCGAUGCGAGGUCCAGGAGGCGAAGCCCAGGCUGGUCGUGGUCGUAGUGGCCGCUCGCCCAUGUACGUCCCCGCCGCCGCCGCCGUGAGGUUCUGGAGGGGACGACGCCGGCGCGAGGGUCUUGGAGGUCCCGGCUGCGCUUGGUCGUAAUGAUGGACGAACAGAGGGAAAUGAUUUGGUGAAAUAUUGAUUGCGAGGCUUUGGAACCAAGUAACUACAAAACAAUUGGAGCAAAGGUCAAGGUUCUCACCCCCCCAAUAUCCGUUAUGUUACCGUGUACUCCCUCCGUUCCUAAAUAUAAGUCCACCUAAAUUAUGUGGUUCUCUAUAUGUAUGAUCUUGUUCCUUGUGUUCUUCUGUCAUUUGACAAUGAGCAGAUAUUAAUCUACAGAGGCGGUGAAUGGAACUCUAGAUACUCAGCUUUCGACUCUCACUCGAAAAGUUCAAAAGAAUAAUCUGGCAGUGUCAUCUGCUUUGAGUAGCUCAGGAUGGGUGGUUAGAAGAGAUGGAAGGGAAGGCGCAAGAACAUGAUAAGAAGGAUGUUGCACAACAAGAGAAGAUAAAGGAGCUCCAGAUUGCUGUAGAUAAGAUUAUCAGUUUUUACUAGUGGCUGUUAGAAGCUAUAGACAAGAUGAUGCAUUUUUAUUAGAUUCAAGUGAGAUUAUUCAGAUUAGCAUAAAAAGUGCAGAGGAUCGUGCAAAGCUUUGUUAUCAUUUGAUUAUUUCACUAUAUAUUUUGUUCAGUUUCGAUGUAA
Triticum aestivum (bread wheat) is the source of this 871-nucleotide long non-coding RNA. RefSeq lists it as uncharacterized. The record is from RefSeq and is a predicted model, not a curated record. Lineage: Eukaryota; Viridiplantae; Streptophyta; Magnoliopsida; Poales; Poaceae. The transcript has 3 exons.